UGGAGGAAGAUGACGACAAAAACAUAUUGGAGACUAGAUCUAGCAAUUUUUUAUGUUUUUUUAACAUGGGUUUUUUUAUAGGGGUUUAAGGAAUUAAUUUAAAAUUGUUUUAAAAGGACUAAAAGAAUAAAUUUUUUUUUUUUGUAAGUCCAAUAAGUAAUCCGUUAAAAGUUUAAUGAUUAAGUGGCCAUUUUAGUCAAAUCUUUUAAUUGGUUUAAUACUAUACCCAUAUACCUGUCCAUGGAUCGGGCCACUCAACUAGGCCCG
RNAcentral lists this long non-coding RNA (267 nucleotides) under Gossypium raimondii (Peruvian cotton). Its description in RNAcentral is "long non-coding RNA (GRAI_LNC010752)". The record is from RNAcentral. Lineage: Eukaryota; Viridiplantae; Streptophyta; Magnoliopsida; Malvales; Malvaceae.